RNAcentral lists this ribosomal RNA (253 nucleotides) under uncultured bacterium. Its description in RNAcentral is "partial 16S ribosomal RNA". It matches the Rfam family "Bacterial small subunit ribosomal RNA", at positions 524 to 776 of the family's 1533-position model. The record is from RNAcentral.
UACGAAGGGGGCAAGCGUUGUUCGGAAUUACUGGGCGUAAAGGGCGCGUAGGCGGUGCACUAAGUCAGGCGUGAAAGCCCUGGGCUCAACCCGGGAAUUGCGCUUGAUACUGGUGCGCUUGAAUCCAGGAGAGGUUGGUGGAAUUCCCAGUGUAGAGGUGAAAUGCGUAGAUAUCAGGAGGAACACCUGUGGUGUAGACAGCUUACUGGACCACUUCUGACGCUGAGACACGAAAGCGUGGGUAGCAAACAGG